This 74-nucleotide transfer RNA is filed under the name Anaerolineales bacterium. RNAcentral's name for it is "tRNA-Val". It matches the Rfam family "tRNA". From Rfam's summary of the family: Transfer RNA (tRNA) molecules are approximately 80 nucleotides in length. The record is from RNAcentral. Lineage: Bacteria; Bacillati; Chloroflexota; Anaerolineae; Anaerolineales.
GGGCGGGUAGCUCAGUUGGUUAGAGCGCCUCCCUUACAAGGAGGAAGUCAGGGGUUCGAGUCCCUUUCCGCCCA